Parus major (Great Tit) is the source of this 1589-nucleotide long non-coding RNA. RefSeq lists it as uncharacterized. The transcript is spliced from 4 exons. Lineage: Eukaryota; Metazoa; Chordata; Aves; Passeriformes; Paridae. The record is from RefSeq and is a predicted model, not a curated record.
CUGUAAAACUUCACUGAAAGUGUCCUGAAAUCCACCUGAAAUGAGUGACUGUGUACGAUUUCCUGCAUCUACAUAUUGUGGUGAUUCAGAUUGCCACUGAAUAUGAGUGAGAAGACCAGCAGAGUUCAGCCCUUUCUGGAGAUGCCUUUCCAGCUCACUGCAGGAGCAACAGCCCUGGUGUAAUUCCAGGAAGGAAGCAGAACUCCUGGAGUCAGCACGGCAGGGUUUGUCACAGGCUCAUGUUUUACUCCCUACAUGGAGCAUUUCAUGUCGGCAUGCACAGAGCAUUCCCUUCUUCUCCCUAGAAAUGUUCUCUCCAGACUCAGCAGCAGCCCAGGAGCUUCUAACACUGAUGUGAGAAGGGCAGGCCGGCGUUUCGGUGUCUGUCCCCUCUCUCCAUGUUUCCCGGAUCCAUCUGCUCAGCACUUGCCGGGAAGGACAUGUCUUGCUGCUCAUUCAGUCAGGGGCAAUGGAGAAUCCCUUUCAGCUGCAGCAUCCUGUGGCCUUCAGACAACUGAAAUAUCAGUUAUGGAACAGCAACAGGCAGGAGUCAAAGUAUGUGGAGCUAUUUCUAUGGCUGAAGAGAAGACAGCUGGUCAGCCACAAAUACCAUUCUUACAAGUGCAGUCCCAAUAGCCACAUUAUGAAUUAAAAGCAGAGGAAUGCAGCUAUCACAUGAGGAGCACUCAGCUGGUCCCCUGCUGAACCAGGAGCAGGAGCUGUGCACUCUGGGGAAGGUAAGCUCUAAUCCUCAGCUACCACUGUCCCCCUGAUCCUGUCACACUGAUCCACGACUCAGUCCCAGACACGUACAGACAGGCCAUGCAAAAUGUCUGUUAUAAAUAAAAUGAGCACUCCUUGAAAUCAUCUAGUUUUGAAGGCAGACUGUCACUUUGAACUCCUAGACACUUGAGGAAAGCUCCUUUGUGCAGGUUGCAGGAACCAUGAGGAAUUUCACAUGCUGUGCAGACAACCCUGGUAGCCAGAGCCGAGUGCCUAUUUUCAGCCUGGAUACUGCUCUGGUAGCUGUCAUGAUGAAUCCUGAUCCUUUCCUGGUCCUGCCUGUGAGUGGGAGCUGCAGUAGCUCUGGGGGGGAGCCUUAAGUCCUUAAAAGGAGUGUGGGAGUUUCAAGACUUUUCUUCCUCUUCUUACCCCCACUGAAGGCAAUUCAGAGUUCAUCCUGCCUGAAUUCACAGUCUGGGGAGAAUGUGCUUUACUGUAGGUGGCUCUGAACUGAGGUUGCAUUUAUUUCACUGAUGGCAAUUACAGAGCAGGCACUGGAGCAGACUGAUGUUCAGUGAGCAGUAAUGCUGGCCUGCUUGCAAGUUUGCAUGAAGCUUCUCUGCUCUAAGAAACUCAAAGCAUUUUCAAAGAAAACUAGAAUUCCCUCUCACUGCUUUACAAAGGCAGAAACUGAGACCCAGAGAGCUGUGACUUCCCCCACCUCAUCUAGUGAGGUGAUAACAGCUACAGAAAUAGAAUUCAUGACUUCCAGACCCUCUCCUCCUCCUGACCACUAACACAUUUUGCCACCCAAGAUCAUUUGCCAUGUCAUCAUCAAGGCAUAUCUGGGUAACACAGUUUCUCCA